UGGUCAUUACCAAGUCUUUUAGAAUGCAGUUUCUCAUUUGCUAUGGACAUGACCAUAAAAAUAUUCCCACUAGGUUUUCUAUCUGCUACCUUGCCAACAAUAAACCUAUUUGGAACAUUU
Ictidomys tridecemlineatus (thirteen-lined ground squirrel) is the source of this 120-nucleotide small nucleolar RNA. The record is from Ensembl. Lineage: Eukaryota; Metazoa; Chordata; Mammalia; Rodentia; Sciuridae.